RNAcentral lists this ribosomal RNA (253 nucleotides) under uncultured bacterium. RNAcentral describes it as "partial 16S ribosomal RNA". It matches the Rfam family "Bacterial small subunit ribosomal RNA", at positions 524 to 776 of the family's 1533-position model. The record is from RNAcentral.
UACGUAGGGUGCAAGCGUUGUCCGGAAUUAUUGGGCGUAAAGAGCUCGUAGGCGGUCUGUCGCGUCUGCUGUGAAAACUCGGGGCUUAACCCCGGGCCUGCAGUGGGUACGGGCAGACUAGAGUGCGGUAGGGGAGACUGGAAUUCCUGGUGUAGCGGUGAAAUGCGCAGAUAUCAGGAGGAACACCGGUGGCGAAGGCGGGACUCUGGGCCGAUACUGACGCUGAGGAGCGAAAGCGUGGGGAGCGAACAGG